RNAcentral lists this ribosomal RNA (154 nucleotides) under Agroathelia rolfsii. Its description in RNAcentral is "Athelia rolfsii 5.8S rRNA". It matches the Rfam family "5.8S ribosomal RNA". Rfam says of the family: 5.8S ribosomal RNA (5.8S rRNA) is a component of the large subunit of the eukaryotic ribosome. The record is from RNAcentral. Lineage: Eukaryota; Fungi; Basidiomycota; Agaricomycetes; Amylocorticiales; Amylocorticiaceae.
CAACUUUCAACAACGGAUCUCUUGGCUCUUGCAUCGAUGAAGAACGCAGCGAAAUGCGAUAAGUAAUGUGAAUUGCAGAAUCCAAUGAAUCAUCGAAUCUUUGAACGCACCUUGCGCCCUUUGGUAUUCCGAGGGGCAUGCCUGUUUGAGAGUC